Molecule: ribosomal RNA, 117 nt
Filed under: Mus caroli (Ryukyu mouse)
Lineage: Eukaryota; Metazoa; Chordata; Mammalia; Rodentia; Muridae
Source: RNAcentral
GUCUAUGGCCAUACCACCCUGAACGCACCCGAUCUUGUCUGAUCUCGGAAUCUAAGCAGAGUCGGGCCUGGUUAGUACUUGGAUGGGAGACCGCCUGGGAAUACCAGGUGCUGUAGG